RNAcentral lists this long non-coding RNA (377 nucleotides) under Ananas comosus (pineapple). RNAcentral's name for it is "long non-coding RNA (ACOM_LNC034543)". Lineage: Eukaryota; Viridiplantae; Streptophyta; Magnoliopsida; Poales; Bromeliaceae. The record is from RNAcentral.
AAAUCUUCAUUUUGCCACUUUCGACCCCUACAGAAUAAUCGUGCGAUCUCAAAAAUCCGUCCAUCAGAUUUGCUAACGGACUGCACCAGUGCUUCCGGCAUUGCCGAACCAUGAAAACCACGAUUUUUUUUUCACCCGAUUCGAUCGCAAAUUUGCGACAAAUCCAUCCUCUCUCCGUCUCCACGUAACCAUCAAUACAUAUAUAUAAGCUUUAUAUAUAUAAAAAAAUUAAUUUUAAUUUAAAUUCAAAUUUUGAAUUCCCCUCUUAAAAAGUUUAGAUAUUACAGUUCGAUUAAUAUAUAUAAAAUAGAGAGAGAGAUGUGCAAGUUGUCCUUUUCAAGAUCGAUAGUUGUAGGGUCGAUACGUUGAGAAGGGCA